AUUGAACGCUGGCGGCAUGCCUUACACAUGAAAGUCGAACGGUAACAGGUUAAGCUGACGAGUGGCGAACGGGUGAGUAAUAUAUCGGAGCGUGCCCAGUCGUGGGGGAUAACUGCUCGAAAGAGCAGCUAAUACCGCAUACGACCUGAGGGUGAAAGCGGGGGAUCGCAAGACCUCGCGCGAUUGGAGCGGCGGAUAUCAGAUUAGGUAGUUGGUGGGGUAAAGGCCUACCAAGCCUACGAUCUGUAGCCGGUCUGAGAGGACGACCAGCCACACUGGGACUGAGACACGGCCACGACUCCUACGGGAGGCAGCAGUGGGGAAUUUUGGACAAUGGACGCAAGGCUGAUCCAGCCAUGCCGGGUGCGGGAAGAAGGCCUUCGGGUUGUAAACCGCUUUUGUCAGGGAAGAAAAGGUUCUGGUUAAUACCUGGGACUCAUGACGGUACCUGAAGAAUAAGCACCGGCUAACUACGUGCCAGCAGCCGCCGUAA
This 493-nucleotide ribosomal RNA is filed under the name uncultured bacterium. RNAcentral describes it as "partial 16S ribosomal RNA". It matches the Rfam family "Bacterial small subunit ribosomal RNA", at positions 30 to 523 of the family's 1533-position model. The record is from RNAcentral.